CCUUCAUCUAUUAUGUAUAUAUUAGCCAAACUAGUUUUCUCUUUCGUCUUCUCCUACCAGUUUAUAUAAGGAGUGUUGGUGUUGGUUACACCUAUAGUUCAGUCUUUAAACUACAGGAUAUCAGAUAGGAUUGUGAUUGAGCUGAAAAAAAAAAAAAAGAAUAUCCAGAGAUGGGUACAGUGAUGUUUGGGUUUUCAUGCCUUGCCUUUUGAGGAAGAGGGUAGAGUAACUAAGGACAGCUAUGAAAUCUGCAAAGGAAACUAGAAGAGACCAGCAGGACAAAGAGGCAGCAUGAGGAGCCACUGUGAGCUAGUAUGCGUGCUUGCAUUUCAGUAACGUAAUGGAGGCUGGAAGUCAAGACCAGGGUUCCCGAAUGAUCAGGUAGAAUGCCAGCAGAUGUGAAAUGAACAGUGCUACAGCCUUCCAGCAGUCCUAGCACAAGGAAUAGAUAAGCCACUGAGUAUCAGGGUUGUUUGUUAUGCAGCAUUGUUGCAGCAACAGCUGAUGAAUACACUUGACCUAAGGUUUGUAGGAAAAUGACCAAGAGGUCUUUAAAUGUGCUUGCAUGGUUUGUCUUUGUCUUUUGUAUUCCUCUCAUCUCCCAUGAGAUGUCCUAUAGCCACUCAUCCCAGGAGAAUGCAGACACAAGUGGAGCAGAUCUGAAUCCAACUUGCAGCCUGGAAAAGUCCACCCAAUCUCAACUCAGCCCGGCAGAGAUGCAAACUACCAGCAGAACUGUACACAGGAAAUUAAUGUUUGUUUCAAGCUGAUGAGUGUUGGAACUGCCUAGCAUUCACCCUUAUUUCAACCAUAGCUGGAAAACCAAGUAGGAUAUGAAAUCCCCCCUUCCUCACUACCACAGGCAAUAAAGUGGAGGAGGAGGCCUUUUGCAGAAAAGCACAUCUUAGAAGAAAGCAAACCUCCUUACAGUUACGAUGUUUCAUUGCCCUUCCCUAAAGAGGAAGGACGCAAGUUAACAGUAGCACCCCGUUGCCUGGUCCUUGUCCAGAAGGGAAGAAUGGUAGUGCAGAGCACAGGAACACUUCGCUUAUCGUUUAGUUACUUGUAAUUCCCUUAUAAAGCUUUUCAAGGCUUACAAAAAGAAACCACAAGAACACAAUGUGCUUUCGGAUAGCUUAAACUGAAAAAGUUCUGCUUUGUGUACCAAUGCAAGU
This 1175-nucleotide long non-coding RNA is filed under the name Equus caballus (horse). RNAcentral's name for it is "lncRNA (ENSECAG00000048154.1)". Lineage: Eukaryota; Metazoa; Chordata; Mammalia; Perissodactyla; Equidae. The record is from RNAcentral.